Molecule: long non-coding RNA, 3299 nt
Organism: Cygnus olor (mute swan)
Lineage: Eukaryota; Metazoa; Chordata; Aves; Anseriformes; Anatidae
Exons: 2
Source: RefSeq, a predicted model, not a curated record
UUUAAGCAAGGGAUUUCAGAUGCCUCCUCGGCUUUCUUAAGGCAAAGCUUCAUGAGGUAGACUGAAUUGAUCUAAUGGCCUAGUGCUGCAAGGGUGGCAUCACCUCUGCUGGUCUCCCUGUCGCCUUCUCUGUCUGCUUCAGUGUCAGCUCUGGCAUUCAAUAACUCUUCGACAAGCCCAUACAGUCCAUAAAAACUGAGAAACUUGGGAAAAAAAGUAUUUGGUUUUGGCUGGCUAGUGACCUGAAAUAGCUCACCAGCUGCUCAGAAAAGCACCGGCUGAUGCAAAGGAUCAACUCACCAGUUCAUGGGACCAAGGGCUUACUAAUGAAACUAUCAAUUCCCUUUCUCAGGAAGAUGAGCUGUAAUUUUGCCUUACUGCCAUGCUAUGAAAGAACAAAUGCUGUAGGUUCUCAUUUACUUCUGCUGCAUGAUCAGCAAGGCAUAUGCGAUACCCCUAAAGCUUAUUGGGUAAUGGAUGUACUGCUUCCCAAGUUUAAAACAAGUUAUCUGUUACCAUUAGUUUGUUGUAGCAUAAAUCAGCAUUGGCAUCCAAACAUUGGCUCUUGUUUGUUGUGAAAUGUUGUGAAUUUUGGCCCUAAGGUGACAUUGGGAUGGGCCAACAUGACACCUUGCUGAUACUGAAAUGGCCUGGUCCUGAUCCUAUAAUUUAGCUGCAUAUACCUGCUGCUUGCCUUAUGCCAGUUUGGGACCAUGUCAAUCUCCAUGAACCAAUUCCAUUUGCUAACUAACACAACAGAAAACCAGGAGGCAAAGAGCCAAAAAAGCAGACAGUUUCUGGCUGGAUUAGUGAUCCAGUAAGAUCUCCUGUAUGAGGGUAGACUGGAGAGUGAAAAGCCUGACUGUAAGAAGAAAAAGUCAUUUUAAUUUCAUUUAUCUGAUACAUAUUAGGGCAGGAGGUGAUAUUUGACAGUCUCUAGUUAUAAUUUAUGCUAUUAUCUAAUCAGUGAAUUAUCACUUCAGUUGUGGAUUGAAUAUAAAAUUAUCUGAAAUACCUAAUCAGGAAACAAAAAUUUAGACAAAUACUGUACUGUAACUGCAUUUAAAUGUUGCUGCUUACUUUGCCUUCAGGAUUUACUGAAUAAUACCUUUUCUAAAUACAUAUUGAAAACAUUCCAUACCAAACCAGUAAUUUCAGUAUUGACUUGGACCUAGGUUAGCUUUCAUAAUAAUUCAGUAUACUGCGUGCAGCAGUGAAAUCUUAACAGCAAGGGUGCUAACCAGUAACCAUUUUUCUUGUUAUCAGCUUUUGUGAAAAACUAUUGUAAGAUCUGGUUCAAGAAUUUAACCAGCCUAGUGAAGAGCUGUCAAACAGGAGGAUAUAUUCAGAUGUCUCAGAAAGAGCCCUGGAAUCACAAGAAAGUCUGAGAGUAGAGAGCACACUGGAACUGAGGGCUGUAUCCCGGCUACAGUGUACUCUGUCUGCCCCAGGAGACAUUUCUUUGACCUCCUCUCCAGGAUACUAUCAGGUCCCAGCCUCAACUCAGGGAUUACGAGGUGUCCUAACUAGGUAAGAUCUCAGGAACUAGGUCACAGAGUGCAUGUCAGGAUGAGCCCAGACCACACCAGUUGGCUGGGUUGGCAGAGGACAGCAAGUCUAAAUAUGGGCUUUGCCAGAUGGUUUGGGAGUUGGAGUAGGAGAACAGCAAAGUGUCUUGUGGACCAAGGUCAGGGUCAAACAUGGAAAAGGUCAGCCAGAGAGGUUGUGAAAUCUCCAUCCUUGAAGAUACUCAUAACAUGAGCUGAUGUGGUGCUACUUCAGCUGCGGUUCUUUGGAGCAGGAGAUUGGACUACAGACCUGGAGGUCCCUUCCAACCUACACCAUCCUACGGUGUCCUGAAUAACCGAGCCUGGUCAGCAUGUUUUGUUGGAAGCUAAUUUUCUAAUUAUUUUUAAAGGAUUACAGGUCCAGUUGAGGGCAGAACAGUGGCUUAUACCUAAAGAAUGGUGAAGAUGCCAGGGACUGCAGUAGCUUCAAAUGACAUGGAGGUCAGUCAUUAAAAGUAAUUUUCUCGAUACAAGACUUGAGACCAAUAUUGUAGCAGAAAAGGUUUUGAAGAAACCAAUUUGGAAACAGCACUGCAUUAAGUAAUCUGGUAGCAGUUCACUCAGUAAACAGCAUUAGUAAGACUACUACAAGGACUGCCAUACAUCAAAAGAUGGUCAGUGUUCAAAGUGAAAGCAAAACCAAGCUGGGAAUAGAAAACAAACCUAAGAUAUGAGGCUUAGGGAGCUAAUAUAGUGUAUAAAAGAAAGGGCUGAGAUAACACAUUACGCAUGUGAAAGCUGUUCUGUAUGGCACAGGAACUGAGGAGAAGCCUACGGAUUUGCUGCCCAGAGCCUAAGUAGUGACAACUGAAGCAGGUUGAGUUCAAUGGCACAAUACUUUCCGCAGUGAGUGGCUAAACUUUGGAUCCCCAUGAAAAGGGGAGAUCAUGGAUAUAUCACAUUAAGAACUGUAAAAGGGGCUAGACAUUAUUUAAAAAAAGAAAAAAAAAAGGGGGAGGCUUUAAUCUGCCCUGAGACAAAUUUGAAAGACUGAGAGACUGAGUACAGGUGAAGAAGACGGUGACAGCAGGUUAAACAGGACAAUGCCUGCCUGACACCGAUGGCAUUCAAUCUCCCUCCGCUCUCCUCCCCGCAUGCUACAACUUGGUCUCCUGAAGACUUUAAUUCUGAAGCACUGUCUCCUGAAGCACUCCAAUUUUAACUGUUUUAAUACAACCUGUUGUUUAAAUAGUUUACGGAUGAAACUAGAGGGCAUGAGCUAUAUACAAGACCCAAAUGGCAGGAAGAAGGAAGAUACAAAUACAGACAUUUCUAUUGCAAAAGCAAUUCCUAACAAACAUCCUUUUGCCAGUAUGAAAUCUAUAUUAGCUUCAAAUUGGUUACACUUGCUGGCAAGUGACAGAUUGUGGUAAUGGAAAUUGUUAUACUGUACAUUUGAUGGGCCUUUUUAGUUUGAAAUAUUUUAAGCUCUAAUUGAUGAACAUGUUUCAGUUGUAGACAUACUCCAAGACUGCUCUUUUAUUACUUCACAAGUAUUAGCUCUUCCACUCACUGAUCCAUACAGUAACUUUACAUCAUAAGAAGGCCAAGCACAGUUGAACCAAUUUUAAUUAUCUUUAUUUCCAUGAAUCACAGUUACACUUCAAGUGGUUAGUGCCUUUGUUUCACAUUUCUCACCCCAAGUACACACCUACAGUAGCUACCACAAAAUGUGCACUUAUUAUCAUUCUAACAGACAUUUGUCGCUACUGCCUUUUUUUUUCCCCAAUC